GAAUGGGUGGCUGAGCGGUCUAAAGCGGUGGUUUUGAAAGCCAUAGUAGUGUAGCUACCAAGGGUUCGAAUCCCUUCCCAUUCU
Molecule: transfer RNA, 84 nt
Filed under: Pharyngomonas kirbyi
Lineage: Eukaryota; Heterolobosea; Pharyngomonadea; Pharyngomonadida; Pharyngomonadidae
Description: tRNA-Ser
Rfam family: tRNA
About the family: Transfer RNA (tRNA) molecules are approximately 80 nucleotides in length. Their secondary structure includes four short double-helical elements and three loops (D, anti-codon, and T loops).
Source: RNAcentral